AUACUGACACACAUACACUGACAGAAAUACUGACACCCACACACUGACAGAUAUACUGACACCCACAUACACUGAGAAAUACUGACACCCACAUACACUGAGAAAUACUGACACACACACACAGGCACAUACACUGACACACACAGACUGAUAUACUGACACACACACACACAGACAUACUGGCACACAGACAGAUAUACUGACACAUGCAUACACAUGCACUAACA
This is a non-coding RNA of Pelobates cultripes (western spadefoot toad), 227 nucleotides long. NCBI's taxonomy places the organism in Eukaryota, Metazoa, Chordata, Amphibia, Anura, Pelobatidae. The record is from the annotation of a GenBank genome assembly.